Mustela erminea (ermine) is the source of this 243-nucleotide long non-coding RNA. RefSeq lists it as uncharacterized. The record is from RefSeq and is a predicted model, not a curated record. NCBI's taxonomy places the organism in Eukaryota, Metazoa, Chordata, Mammalia, Carnivora, Mustelidae. The transcript is spliced from 3 exons.
AUCAUGACCUGAGCCAAAGGCAGACACUUAACUGACUGAGCCACCCAGGCGCCCCCCAACACUUUUUUCAAGACAUUAAACUUUCAUGUUCAAGUUGUGAUUUUUGAAAAUAUAAACUGCUGUCAUCAAAAUAGUGUCACUGCAAAGGAUGGAAAAAUAAUGUAGCACGUUUACUAAAAAGAAAGCAGAGCCAUUUAUAUAAAGGACAGGACUUUUAUGCAGUAAAAAAGAAAUAGGAAAAUG